Molecule: ribosomal RNA, 1244 nt
Filed under: metagenome
Description: bacterial LSU rRNA
Rfam family: Bacterial large subunit ribosomal RNA
Source: RNAcentral
UGAAUACAAGACGCUAAGGCGUCGAAGUAGUGUAUGUCAUACUUCCAAGAAAAGCUUGCACUGUCAUAGAUAAAAAACGCCUGUACCAUAACCGACACAGGUGGGUAGGUAGAGUAUACUAAGGGGCGCGAGAUAACUCUCUCUAAGGAACUCGGCAAAAUAACUCCGUAACUUCGGGAGAAGGAGUGCCUUAUUCUUAAGGUUGCAAUAACAAGAUCCAAGCAACUGUUUAUCAAAAACACAGGUCUCCGCUAAGUCGUAAGACGAUGUAUGGGGGCUGACGCCUGCCCAGUGCCAGAAGGUUAAAGAAGCUGGUUAGCAUUUGCGAAGCUAGUAACUGAAGCCCUGGUGAACGGCGGCCGUAACAAUAACGGUCCUAAGGUAGCGAAAUUCCUUGUCGGGUAAGUUCCGACCCGCACGAAAGGCGUAACGAUUUGGAUACUGUCUCGGAGAGGGGCUCGGUGAAAUAGACUUGUCUGUGAAGAUGCGGACUACCUGCACCAGGACAGAAAGACCCUAUGAAGCUUUACUGUAACUUGAAAUUGAAAUUGGACUUUAUUCGCGCAGUAUAGGUGGGAGGCGUUGAUUAUAAUCUUGCGGGAUUGUUGGAGCCAUUAGUGAGAUACCACUCUUGUAAUGUUAGAUUUCUAACUUUGAAUCAUUAUCUGGUCAAAGAACAGUUUCAGGCGGGCAGUUUGACUGGGGCGGUCGCCUCCUAAACGGUAACGGAGGCGUACAAAGGUUUCCUCUGAACGGUUAGAAAUCGUAUCUAGAGUGUAAAGGCAUAAGGAAGCUUGACUGUGAGACCUACAAGUCGAGCAGGGACGAAAGUCGGUCUUAGUGAUCUGACGGUACUGAGUGGAAAGGCCGUCACUCAACGGAUAAAAGUUACUCUAAGGAUAACAGGCUGAUCUCCCCCAAGAGUUCACAUCGGCGGGGAGGUUUGGCACCUCGAUGUCGGCUCAUCGCAUCCUGGGGCGGUAGUACGUCCCAAGGGUUGGGCUGUUCGCCCAUGAAAGCGGUACGCGAGCUGGGUUCAGAACGUCGUGAGACAGUUCGGUCCAUAUCCGUGUAGGCGUUAGAAUAUUGAGAGGAGCCUUCUUUAGUACGAGAGGACCGAGAAGGACAUACCUCUGGUGUACCAGUUAUCGUGCCAACGGUAAACGCUGGGUAGCUAUGUAUGGAGUGGAUAACCGCUGAAAGCAUCUAAGUGGGAAGCCCACCUCAAGAUAAGUAUUCUCAUC